Pipra filicauda (Wire-tailed manakin) is the source of this 339-nucleotide long non-coding RNA. RefSeq lists it as uncharacterized. The record is from RefSeq and is a predicted model, not a curated record. The transcript has 3 exons. Lineage: Eukaryota; Metazoa; Chordata; Aves; Passeriformes; Pipridae.
AUGCAGCUAGUAAAUGUAACAUUUCUGGAAAGAAGAUAAUCAUCAUUUUGGAAAACAUCAUAGGUGAGGACAUCACGGUUUCAUGAAUAUAGUGAGAGGGAAGACGAUCAGUGCCUAGGAGCCUGGAGACCCUGCCAUCAUCCCUGGUUUCUUGAACUACUUUCUCAAACAAAUGUGGUCCCAUUUGGUUCACACUCAUCUGAAAUCCUAUUGGAACAUUCAUAUGUGUUGUCAGACUCUGACAGAGGUACAACUCUUCAUCUAUCUUUUUUCUUACUGUUUCUUCUGUUUCAUGAAAAGUAAACUGUAUCUUUUCUUUAAAAAACCUCUUUAGUCCUC